This 89-nucleotide transfer RNA is filed under the name Gemmatimonadales bacterium. RNAcentral describes it as "tRNA-Ser". It matches the Rfam family "tRNA". Rfam says of the family: Transfer RNA (tRNA) molecules are approximately 80 nucleotides in length. Their secondary structure includes four short double-helical elements and three loops (D, anti-codon, and T loops). Lineage: Bacteria; Pseudomonadati; Gemmatimonadota; Gemmatimonadia; Gemmatimonadales. The record is from RNAcentral.
GGACAGGUGGCCGAGUGGUUGAAGGCGCACGCCUGGAAAGCGUGUAAACGGCUCAAACCGUUUCGAGGGUUCGAAUCCCUCCCUGUCCG